Molecule: unclassified non-coding RNA, 294 nt
Filed under: Hevea brasiliensis (rubber tree)
Lineage: Eukaryota; Viridiplantae; Streptophyta; Magnoliopsida; Malpighiales; Euphorbiaceae
Source: RNAcentral
GGAAUUUAUGACAACUAUCACUGAUUAAAUAACAAAUAUCAUAUCUUGUAUGCACGCUUUGGUAAACUGUAUUUACUAUUGCGGUCUCCUGAAGAAGGGUUUCUGGCAGACUAGGAGUUUCUCGUUGCUGCUACUUUCGAGCUCUAUCAUGCGAGCAUCCCAUUUCAUCUGCGAUGCCAAGGAUCUGGCAGUUUCUACGAGAGCAGCUGUAUCACGAAGAAUGAUCCAACCCUCUGGUCUAAGAAUGCGGUCCAUCUCCAAGAAUACAUCAACAAGGGAACAUCUGUGUCGCUG